UAAGAAGUGGUGUAUAUGGGUGCACAAGGGAUUUUGAUCUCCUAAGAAUGGGUUCAAAUCCUUUCUUCUUAA
RNAcentral lists this transfer RNA (72 nucleotides) under Pseudohynobius puxiongensis (Puxiong's protohynobiid). RNAcentral describes it as "tRNA-Gln". It matches the Rfam family "tRNA". Rfam says of the family: Transfer RNA (tRNA) molecules are approximately 80 nucleotides in length. Their secondary structure includes four short double-helical elements and three loops (D, anti-codon, and T loops). Further hydrogen bonds mediate the characteristic L-shaped molecular structure. tRNAs have two regions of fundamental functional importance: the anti-codon, which is responsible for specific mRNA codon recognition, and the 3' end, to which the tRNAs corresponding amino acid is attached (by aminoacyl-tRNA synthetases). tRNAs cope with the degeneracy of the genetic code in two manners: having more than one tRNA (with a specific anti-codon) for a particular amino acid; and 'wobble' base-pairing, i.e. permitting non-standard base-pairing at the 3rd anti-codon position. Lineage: Eukaryota; Metazoa; Chordata; Amphibia; Caudata; Hynobiidae. The record is from RNAcentral.